This 1253-nucleotide ribosomal RNA is filed under the name Amynthas sp. 3 LZ-2016. Its description in RNAcentral is "16S ribosomal RNA". The stretch from base 562 to 1253 matches the Rfam family "Archaeal large subunit ribosomal RNA", at positions 1423 to 2907 of the family's 2987-position model. Lineage: Eukaryota; Metazoa; Annelida; Clitellata; Crassiclitellata; Megascolecidae. The record is from RNAcentral.
GCCCACUUAAUUAAAUCUUUAAAAUAUCCUAUGACACAAACAACUAAAUAACCACUAAAAAAUAAAGUACAGAAAUGGAAAUAACUAUUAAAUAAAGUAAAUAUUAACAAAUGUACCUUGUGCAUUAUGGUUUUACAAGAAAAUAAUUAAAAUAUUAAUCCCGAAUUCUAAAUGAGAUGUUAAACUGCUGUUAAAGAACCCACUAAUAACUGUAGAAAAAGCUUUAAAAGACAGUUUAACAGAGGCUACAUACCAUCCGCAUAAGAAUAUAGCUGGUUUUCAACAAAUAUUAUACAUUAAAGCAUAUAAUUAUAUUAUAGUGUAACAUUAUUGAGGAUAAGCCCAAUAAUAAGAGCAAUUAUACAAUAAAUCUAUUAUAUAUAAUAGGCCUAAAAACAGCCAAUAAAAAUACCUUACCGUAAUAAAUAAUGAUAUAAUUAAUAUUAUAUUAAUGCUAAAAAAGUUGAAAAAGUGAAUAAAUUAAAUAUUUCACUUUUAUUAUGUAAAAAUAAGUAUUAUUAAAUAAAUAAAAAUAAAAAUCUAGUAAAUUCAAUACACAAAAUUAUAAUAAUUAAUUAAGGAACUCGGCAAAUCCUUAUUUCGACUGUUUAACAAAAACAUUGUCUUAUGAAUAAUAUAUAAGAUAAUACCUGCCCAGUGACAUAAUGUUCAACGGCCGCGGUAUCCUAACCGUGCAAAGGUAGCAUAAUAACUUGCCUAUUAAUUGUAGGCUAGAAUGAAAGGGUUAACGAAAUAAAAGCUGUCUCAAUUAAUUCACUAAAAAUUAUUAGCUACUUGAAGAAAAGUAGAUAACCUCGAAGGACAAGAAGACCCUAUAGAGCUUAAUUUUAGUUAUAGAUUUAUACUAUGAAAAAUAUUCGGUUGGGGCGACCCAGGGCUAAAAAUCACCCAUUAAAUAAAAGAUAUAUUAAUCAAAUAAAUGACCCUUAAAGGACCAUAAAAACAAGCUACCUUAGGGAUAACAGGCUAAUCCCACUCAAGAGUCCUUAUCAACAGUGGGGGUUGGCACCUCGAUGUUGGCUUAGGGUAUCUAUAUAGCGCAAAAGUUAUAUAAAGAUGGUUUGUUCAACCAAUAAUUCCCUACAUGAGCUGAGUUCAGACCGGCGUAAGCCAGGUUAGCUUCUAUCCUCGACCACUAUAUCUACUCCUAGUACGAAAGGACCUGAAUAGAGUAAUAAUUAUACAAAAGAAUUCAUAUAAAUAAGAAUAAAAACACUAUAGUAUAUACUAUA